This 392-nucleotide ribosomal RNA is filed under the name Tarsipes rostratus (honey possum). Its description in RNAcentral is "partial 12S ribosomal RNA". It matches the Rfam family "Bacterial small subunit ribosomal RNA", at positions 794 to 1384 of the family's 1533-position model. The record is from RNAcentral. Lineage: Eukaryota; Metazoa; Chordata; Mammalia; Diprotodontia; Tarsipedidae.
GCUUAGCCUUAAACCCAAAUAUUUUAUCAACAAAACUAUUCGCCAGAGAACUACUAGCAAUCGCUUAAAACUCAAAGGACUUGGCGGUGCCCUAAUCCCAUCUAGAGGAGCCUGUUCUAUAAUCGAUAAACCCCGAUAUACCUUACCUCUUUUUGCCAAUACAGCUUAUAUACCGCCAUCGUCAGCUCACCCCAAUAGGGUAUUAAAGUAAGCAAGAUUAUUCAUCAUAAAAACGUUAGGUCAAGGUGUAGCAUAUGAAGAGGAAAGCAAUGGGCUACAUUUUCUAUAAUAGAAAAUUAACGAAAUAUCUUAUGAAACUAAGAUAUACUGAAGGAGGAUUUAGCAGUAAAUUAAGAAUAGAGAGCUUAAUUGAAACAGGCAAUAGGGCGCGC